CAUACGCACUACGGUGGAAAGCGGGGGAUUCUUCGGAACCUCGCGCUGAUAGAUGAGUCCGCGUCUGAUUAGCUAGUUGGUAGGGUAAAGGCCUACCAAGGCGAUGAUCAGUAACUGGUUUGAGAGGAUGAUCAGUCACACUGGAACUGAGACACGGUCCAGACUCCUACGGGAGGCAACAGUGGGGAAUAUUGCACAAUGGGCGCAAGCCUGAUGCAGCGACGCCGCGUGCGGGAAGAAGGCCUUCGGGUUGUAAACCGCUUUCAAUUGGGAAGAAAGAGAUGAGGAUUAAUACCCCUCUGAUUUGACGGUACCUUUGAGAAGAAGCACCGGCUAAAUUCGUGCCAGCAGCCGCGGUAAUACGAAAGGUGCAAGCGUUGUUCGGAUUUACUGGGCGUAAAGAGAUCGUAGGUGGUUUGUUAAGUCGGAUGUGAAAUCCCGGGGCUCAACCCCGGAACUGCAUUCGAUACUGGCAGACUUGAGUUCGGGAGGGGUAAGCGGAAUUCCGUGUGUAGCAGUGAAAUGCGUAGGUAUACGGAGGAACACCUGAGGCGAAGGCGGCUUACUGGACCGAUACUGGACACUGAGGAUCGAAAAGCGUGGGUAGGCAAACAGGGAUUAGAUACCUUGGUAGUUCACGCCCUAAAACGAUGUCUACUAAGCCGUAGCGGGUAUCGACCCCCUGCUGUUGGCGAAGCUAACGCGAUAAAGUAGACCCGCCUGGGGGAGUACGGUCGCAAGAUUAAAACUCAAAGGAAUUGACGGGGGGCCCCGCACAAGGCGGUUGGAGCAUGUGGUUUUAAUUUCGACGCAACGCGAAGAACCUUACCUGGGUUUGACAUCCUUGGAAUUUCUCUAGAGAUAGAGAAGUGCCUUCGGGAACCGGGU
This 888-nucleotide ribosomal RNA is filed under the name uncultured bacterium. Its description in RNAcentral is "bacterial SSU rRNA". It matches the Rfam family "Bacterial small subunit ribosomal RNA", at positions 172 to 1032 of the family's 1533-position model. The record is from RNAcentral.